This is a non-coding RNA of Paramuricea clavata, 511 nucleotides long. Lineage: Eukaryota; Metazoa; Cnidaria; Anthozoa; Malacalcyonacea; Plexauridae. The record is from the annotation of a GenBank genome assembly.
CUGAGAAACGAACGACAGAUGAUCCGUCUCUAUAUUUACAAAGUGGCGAAGUUGAAGUAUUUCACUCAAUUUUACAUUUUCUGCACGUAGGCAACCAGCCACCCUCUGUCACCUCUUCAGGGGUUCUCUUCAGUUUAAGCCGGCAGCCCUAGCACAAAGUUACCUGCACUGUCUCUAAAUUGCCGCACUUAUACAGGACAACUAUCCGACCAAUUGCCUAUUCUUUGCUGCAUUAAAUUAGUAUAAAUUGGCCAAUAAUUUAAAUUCGAGAGCGAAGCAAAACUUUCAGAUGACAUUAAAACGUUUCCUGUUCAUCACCCCAGAAUGCUGCUGACAUUGUGGGCUGUUGAUUCGUCAAGAUGACUUUAUAAUUUGUCGCAAAGAUCAUUGUUUUUCUUUUCUUCGCUCGUUUGAUAUCUUCACCAUUCUUUCAAAAUUGUCGAUAUCUUUCAUAGCCUGUAGUCCUUCAUCUUCCAUAUCAUUUUUAUCAUCAUCAGCAUCAAAACUUGAU